RNAcentral lists this long non-coding RNA (525 nucleotides) under Vombatus ursinus (common wombat). RNAcentral describes it as "lncRNA (ENSVURG00010000420.1)". The record is from RNAcentral. Lineage: Eukaryota; Metazoa; Chordata; Mammalia; Diprotodontia; Vombatidae.
GUGACUGUCAGGGCCUGCAAGUUGCCUUUUACUGUAGAACCUCUUGGAACUUGUAAAGCCGGGCAGUCUAUUCAGAAAUGAAUGGCCUUUUCCACAAGAUCAAUGUAAUCUACAUAACAAUGCAUUGCCUUCCUCCAGGAACUUGAAUGACCAUGGAACUCCAAAACUUCAGUCUCUCCUCUUACUAAACUUCACUUUGUACUGUAUACGUGCAGGUGUGCCUUACUGGUGAUGUCUCUUCUACCUGGAGGAUCUCUAAGCCAUUGCAGAGGCUCAGUUCCUGGUGUUCCUUCCAAAUGGCUACAUGGCUGAAUUGACUGAUGAUGAGGAGAUUGACAGUUUGUGCUGAGUCCCAGGUGGGAGUAUCGUGAAAUUAGUCCAGCAGGAGCUGAGCAGAGCUUAACUCAUUCAUACAUUGCAGAAGAGAGAGAGGUCCACAGGUAGGGAAAGGUCCCAGUCCCCCCCAUUCCCAAAUCAUCAACCUAGUUGCUGAUGAGGAAAAAUCUUCCAUUAGAGCAUUAUUCC